UACGUAGGGGGCUAGCGUUGUCCGGAUUUAUUGGGCGUAAAGAGCGUGUAGGCGGCCGGGUAGGUCUGGUGUGAAAACUCGAGGCUUAACCUCGAGAUGUCAUCGGAAACCAUUUGGCUAGAGUCCGGAAAAGGAGAGUGGAAUUCCUGGUGUAGCGGUGAAAUGCGCAGAUAUCAGGAAGAACACCAAUGGCGAAAGCAGCUCUCUGGGACGGUACUGACGCUGAGACGCGAAAGCGUGGGGAGCGAACAGG
RNAcentral lists this ribosomal RNA (253 nucleotides) under uncultured bacterium. Its description in RNAcentral is "partial 16S ribosomal RNA". It matches the Rfam family "Bacterial small subunit ribosomal RNA", at positions 524 to 776 of the family's 1533-position model. The record is from RNAcentral.